RNAcentral lists this ribosomal RNA (253 nucleotides) under uncultured bacterium. RNAcentral's name for it is "partial 16S ribosomal RNA". It matches the Rfam family "Bacterial small subunit ribosomal RNA", at positions 524 to 776 of the family's 1533-position model. The record is from RNAcentral.
UACGGGGGGGGCAAGCGUUGUUCGGAAUUACUGGGCGUAAAGGGCUCGUAGGCGGCCCUCUCAGUCGGAUGUGAAAUCCCCAGGCUUAACCUGGAAAUGGCAUCCGAUACUGGAGGGCUUGAAUUCGGGAGAGGGAUGCAGAAUUCCAGGUGUAGCGGUGAAAUGCGUAGAUAUCUGGAGGAAUACCGGUGGCGAAGGCGGCAUCCUGGACCGAGAUUGACGCUGAGGAGCGAAAGCUAGGGGAGCAAACGGG